This 690-nucleotide ribosomal RNA is filed under the name uncultured Acidobacteriota bacterium. RNAcentral's name for it is "bacterial SSU rRNA". It matches the Rfam family "Bacterial small subunit ribosomal RNA", at positions 15 to 737 of the family's 1533-position model. The record is from RNAcentral. Lineage: Bacteria; Pseudomonadati; Acidobacteriota.
GAUCCUGGCUCAGAAUCAACGCUGGCGGCGUGCCUAACACAUGCAAGUCGAACGAGAAAGUGGAGCAAUCCAUGAGUAAAGUGGCGCACGGGUGAGUAACACGUGACUAACCUACCCUUGAGUGGGGGAUAACCUCGGGAAACCUUGGCUAAUACCGCAUAACACCUACGGGUCAAAGGAGCAAUUCGCUUAAGGAGGGGGUCGCGGCAGAUUAGUUAGUUGGCAGGGUAAUGGCCUACCAAGACAGUGAUCUGUAUCCGGCCUGAGAGGGCGCACGGACACACUGGAACUGAAAUACGGUCCAGACUCCUACGGGAGGCAGCAGUGGGGAAUUUUGCGCAAUGGGGGAAACCCUGACGCAGCAACGCCGCGUGGAGGAUGAAGUCCCUUGGGACGUAAACUCCUUUCGACCGGGACGAUAAUGACGGUACCGGAAGAAGAAGCCCCGGCUAACUUCGUGCCAGCAGCCGCGGUAAUACGAGGGGGGCGAGCGUUGCUCGGAAUUAUUGGGCGUAAAGGGUGCGUAGGCGGUUCGGUAAGUUUCGUGUGAAAUCUUCGGGCUCAACUCGAAGUCUGCACGAGAUACUGCCGGGCUUGAGUGCGGGAGAGGUGAGUGGAAUUUCCGGUGUAGCGGUGAAAUGCGUAGAUAUCGGAAGGAACACCUGUGGCGAAAGCGGCUCACUGGACCAU